CGAAGAUGAACGGAGGACUUACAGGCUUGGGACGACAUGUCACGUGGAAAGCAGAUGAUCAUGGCAAAAAAGGAAAGGGAAGAAUUAACUUUUGUGCACUUAAAGUGUGCACAAGCCAGAUGAUCUGACAGUUGCUAGCUGAUGGAAAAUGAUUGCUGGAUGAAUGACCUUCAACUUCAACUCAACCUUGCCAAGACAGAAUUGCUUAUGGUUUUAGCCAAACCAUACUUGCUGUGAUCCUACUGAUUUGCUUUAUACAUCAUUAGGAGGAUCAGGCCCUUCCUAUCGGAGCUAAACAACUCCUGGUCUAAGCUCUUGUUCUAGACUGUACUAUUGUAAUGCUCUCUUGACAGGUUUCCAGCAUCAGUCAAACCUCUGCAACUGAUCCAGAUGCUGCAGCAAGAGUUGUCUUUAAAGGUAGCCCUAUACCUAAACUCACUUGUGUUCUGCAAGUGAAUGGCGCCUUGUGGUGCCAUAAUUGUGCCAUUUGUGUCCAAAGAGACACAAAACCACUUUUACUGACCUUUACCUGGACUGUUUCCUGCUGUUGGAAUGACCUGUGCAACUCAACACAUUUUCAAGAAACUGCUAAAGAUCCAUCUUUUUCAUAAACACUUGACCCAAUAAUACAAAACCUUUGUUAAAAAAAAAAAAAAAAA
Molecule: non-coding RNA, 659 nt
Organism: Pimephales promelas (fathead minnow)
Lineage: Eukaryota; Metazoa; Chordata; Actinopteri; Cypriniformes; Leuciscidae
Source: RefSeq, a predicted model, not a curated record